This 654-nucleotide ribosomal RNA is filed under the name uncultured bacterium. RNAcentral describes it as "SSU rRNA". It matches the Rfam family "Bacterial small subunit ribosomal RNA", at positions 245 to 915 of the family's 1533-position model. The record is from RNAcentral.
CUAGUUGGUGGGGUAAAAGCUUACCAAGGCGACAAUCGGUAGCUGGUCUGAGAGGACGAUCAGCCACACUGGGAUUGAGAACGGCCCAGACUCCUACGGGGGGCAGCAGUGAGGAAUUUUCGUCAAUGGGGGAAACCCUGAACGAGCAACGCCGCGUGCAGGAAGAAGGUUUUCGGAUCGUAAACUGCUUUUCUCGGGGAAGAGAACGGACGGUACCCGAGGAAUAAGCCCCGGCUAACUACGUGCCAGCAGCCGCGGUAAUACGUAGGGGGCAAGCGUUGUCCGGAUUUAUUGGGCGUAAAGCGCACGCAGGCGGUCUCUUAAGUUUUGAGUGACAGGUGGUGGCUCAACUACCACAGGCCUUGGAAAACUGGGAGACUUGAGGACUUCAGAGGGAUGCGGAAUUCCAGGUGGAGCGGUGAAAUGCGUAGAGAUCUGGAAGAACACCAAAGGCGAAGGCAGCAUUCUGGGAAGUAACUGACGCUCAUGUGCGAAAGCUAGGGGAGCGAACGGGAUUAGAUACCCCGGUAGUCCUAGCCGUAAACGAUGACCACUAGACGUAGGGGGUAUCGACCCCUUCUGUGUCGAAGCUAACGCAUGAAGUGGUCCGCCUGGGGAGUACGGUCGCAAGAUUAAAACUCAAAGGAAUUGACG